GGGCGUAUAGCUCAGCGGGAGAGCGCCUCGUUGACAUCGAGGAGGUCCCUGGUUCAAUCCCAGGUACGCCCACCA
This 75-nucleotide transfer RNA is filed under the name Pelagibius litoralis. RNAcentral's name for it is "tRNA-Val". It matches the Rfam family "tRNA". Rfam says of the family: Transfer RNA (tRNA) molecules are approximately 80 nucleotides in length. Their secondary structure includes four short double-helical elements and three loops (D, anti-codon, and T loops). Further hydrogen bonds mediate the characteristic L-shaped molecular structure. tRNAs have two regions of fundamental functional importance: the anti-codon, which is responsible for specific mRNA codon recognition, and the 3' end, to which the tRNAs corresponding amino acid is attached (by aminoacyl-tRNA synthetases). tRNAs cope with the degeneracy of the genetic code in two manners: having more than one tRNA (with a specific anti-codon) for a particular amino acid; and 'wobble' base-pairing, i.e. permitting non-standard base-pairing at the 3rd anti-codon position. The record is from RNAcentral. Lineage: Bacteria; Pseudomonadati; Pseudomonadota; Alphaproteobacteria; Rhodospirillales; Rhodovibrionaceae. RNAcentral also lists the same sequence under 5 other names.